This is a small nuclear RNA of Salvia hispanica, 120 nucleotides long. RefSeq annotates it as U5 spliceosomal RNA. Lineage: Eukaryota; Viridiplantae; Streptophyta; Magnoliopsida; Lamiales; Lamiaceae. The record is from RefSeq and is a predicted model, not a curated record.
AAAUAUCAAUGUCAACACAACGAACUAUUAUUUCGCCUUUUACUAAAGAAUACCGUGUGUUUGUUGCAAUUCUAGCAGCAUACACCAUUUUUUGGAGGCUACUUUCACUAUAUAGAAGAU